RNAcentral lists this ribosomal RNA (400 nucleotides) under phytoplankton environmental sample. RNAcentral's name for it is "partial small subunit ribosomal RNA". It matches the Rfam family "Eukaryotic small subunit ribosomal RNA", at positions 587 to 991 of the family's 1831-position model. The record is from RNAcentral.
AGCUCCAGUAGCGUAUAUUAAUGUUGUUGCAGUUAAAAAGCUCGUAGUUGGAUUUCUAGUCGACAUGCGUGGUCCGCUGCGUUUAACGCACGUGAGUACCGCAGUCGUGUCGCCUAUCCUAUCAGUUUGUCGCGGGCUCCGGCCCCGGCUGACUGGUUCUUUUACUUUGAAAAAAUUAGAGUGUUUAAAGCAGGCUUGCGCAAUGAAUACAUUAGCAUGGAAUAAUGACAUAGGACUUCGGUCUCUAUUUUGUUGGUUUCUAGAACUGAAGUAAUGAUUGAUAGGGAUAGUUGGGGGUGCUAGUAUUGAGCGGCCAGAGGUGAAAUUCUCGGAUUCGCUCAAGACUAACUUAUGCGAAAGCAUUCACCAAGGAUGUCUUCUUUAAUCAAGAACGAAAGUA